UAUUAAGUGGCUGAAAAUAAAAGCACUAGAUUUUUAAUCUAGAUAAUGAUUUAUAUAAAUCCUUAAUAA
Molecule: transfer RNA, 69 nt
Filed under: Bathypolypus sponsalis
Lineage: Eukaryota; Metazoa; Mollusca; Cephalopoda; Octopoda; Octopodidae
Description: tRNA-Lys
Rfam family: tRNA
About the family: Transfer RNA (tRNA) molecules are approximately 80 nucleotides in length. Their secondary structure includes four short double-helical elements and three loops (D, anti-codon, and T loops).
Source: RNAcentral